UUGCCCUAGUAACGGCGACUGAAGCGGCAACAGCUCAAAUUUGAAAUCUGGCGUCUUUGCGCGUCCGAGUUUUAAUUUGCAGAGGAUGCUUCUGGCGACGUGCCUUCCGAGUUCCCUGGAACGGGACGCCAAAGAGGGUGAGAGCCCCGUACGGUCUGGUGCCUAGCCUCUGUGUAGCUCCUUCGACGAGUCGAGUAGUUUGGGAAUGCUGCUCAAAAUGGGAGGUAAACUCCUUCUAAAGCUAAAUAUUGGCCAGAGACCGAUAGCGCACAAGUAGAGUGAUCGAAAGAUGAAAAGCACUUUGAAAAGAGAGUUAAAUAGUACGUGAAAUUGUUGAAAGGGAAGCGCUUAUGACCAGACUUGGGCUUGGUGGUUCAGCCGUCCUUCUGGGCGGUGCACUCCGCCGGUUCAGGCCAGCAUCAGUUGUCGGUUGGGGAGAAAGGCGGCGGGAAUGUGGCCCUUCGGGGUGUUAUAGCCCACCCGCUAUGCCCUCCCGGCGACUGAGGUUAGCGUUCUUCACGGAUGCUGGCGUAAUGGUUAUCAACGACCCGUCUUGAAACACGACCAAGGACUCCGUCUUUGAUGCAGUGUUUGGGUUGAAAACCCCUACCCGAAAUGAAAGUGAACGGAGGUGAAUACUUCGCCGCUUUUUCGACCGAUCCUGAUGUUCUCGGAUGGAUUUGAAUAAAACCAUUCGGGGCCGGACCCAAAAAAAAAUGAACUAUGCUUUGAUAGGCCAAACCCCCAGAAACUUUGUC
This 758-nucleotide ribosomal RNA is filed under the name Natantispora lotica. RNAcentral describes it as "eukaryotic LSU rRNA". It matches the Rfam family "Eukaryotic large subunit ribosomal RNA", at positions 75 to 868 of the family's 3401-position model. Lineage: Eukaryota; Fungi; Ascomycota; Sordariomycetes; Microascales; Halosphaeriaceae. The record is from RNAcentral.